Solanum lycopersicum (tomato) is the source of this 464-nucleotide non-coding RNA. The record is from RefSeq and is a predicted model, not a curated record. NCBI's taxonomy places the organism in Eukaryota, Viridiplantae, Streptophyta, Magnoliopsida, Solanales, Solanaceae.
UCUAAUUUUCUCUCUCCUAUUCACAAUUAAUUUUCUCUCUCCUUUCCUCAUUCUAACGUCUUCUCCUACAUUUAAUACUCCAAUAUCAGAUUUGAAUUUUGAAUUUUUGUCCAAAAUUUCAGUAAUCCCUCCUGAAGUUGAAAUCUCCUCCUUAAGUUGAAGUCAAUUUCAUCUAAAAUUCGUUAAACAAUGAACGAAUCGUCUACAUCUUUGAGGAUUACCAGAGGGUCUUUGGGAAAAUCAAAACAACUUAUACAAGAACAAACCAUGGAAGAGCUGAGAUCAAAGAAAAAAAAACGACCCUAUGGCAGUUCAACAAGUUAUUAAAAAUGCCAAAGCUAGAGGCAUUAAAAUUGUACAAGGUACAAGAAAGAGGAAAGUUGUACUAUUUGAAUCAGAGGAAAAUGAUUGUGAAGUCGGAUCUGAAGAACUUCAUAAUCAUUAGAUAGUGUCUUAAAACACAA